This 502-nucleotide ribosomal RNA is filed under the name uncultured bacterium. RNAcentral describes it as "partial 16S ribosomal RNA". It matches the Rfam family "Bacterial small subunit ribosomal RNA", at positions 899 to 1397 of the family's 1533-position model. The record is from RNAcentral.
ACUCAAAUGAAUAGACGGGGGCCCGCACAAGCGGUGGAGCAUGUGGUUCAAUUCGACGCAACGCGAAGAACCUUACCAGCUCUUGACAUGUCCAGUAUGGGGCCGAGAGAUCGACUCCUUCAGUUCGGCUGGCUGGAACACAGGUGCUGCAUGGCUGUCGUCAGCUCGUGUCGUGAGAUGUUGGGUUAAGUCCCGCAACGAGCGCAACCCUCAUCUUCAGUUGCCAUCAGGUUAUGCUGGGCACUCUGAAGGAACUGCCGGUGACAAGCCGGAGGAAGGCGGGGAUGACGUCAAGUCCUCAUGGCCUUUAUGGGCUGGGCUACACACGUGCUACAAUGGCGGUGACAGAGGGACGCGAAGGGGCAACCCUUGGCCAAUCUCAAAAAGCCGUCUCAGUUCGGAUUGUUCUCUGCAACUCGAGAGCAUGAAGCUGGAAUCGCUAGUAAUCGCGGAUCAGCACGCCGCGGUGAAUACGUUCCCGGGCCUUGUACACACCGCCCGU